GCGGGGCCGGGACCCCACCGCUAGCCGCGCAUGGUGCAGCGGCCACCGCGAUGCGUGCUCGUUCGCUCGCUCACGUGCAGCAGCUCUGCAGACCCCAGCCCGGACGAGGCUCUAGAGCGCGCGCCGCACUGCUUGCUGCUCCUCCUUCUCCUCCUCCUCCAACUCGGGCCUCGCCCGCCUCACCCGGUUUCCUUCCAGAACCAGCUUCCAAACUGGCUUGCUGGGAUGGGUUGGUCAGGUCUCUGCCGCCUCUUUCUCAGGUGGAGGACAGUGGACGGUUUGUGGAGUCUGUUUCUCUCUCUCUACCUUUACAUGGCUUCGGAGGAUCAAGCUCAGGUCCUCGGGCUUGUACAGCAAAGACUUCGCCCAGCGAACCAUUUCAGCUGCCCCAUCUCUAAUGUUCUUUCCCUUUACCAGGCUAUCAGAAGAGAGGGAUGGUGGCUGUAUCCCGGGCAUCCCAGCAGGAAGGACUGGGUUAGAGGCUCCUGGCUGAACAGAACACUCAGAACUGGCAUUUCAGGCUCGCCUCACAACAUGAACGAGACUAGAUUCGUGCAGGCAGCUGGCCUCAAGGAGGGGGUGUACCCACUGAACUGUCUGCCUCUUGAGUUCAUCAUGCAGACACGCAUACGUGAGUAUCUUGUCCCCACAUUUGACAGAACUAUGGAUUUGACAUGCAAGCCAUGUGGUUCCAAUGCCAAGGAGUGAGGCACUUGGGGCACCAGGCCAGGGCUGAAGUGAAACCAGAUUCCCUGGGUGUACCUAUUUCCUGAAUUGGCUACCCUGGGACAAUUUGAUUUCCUUCAGUUAUCUGUUGCCUGCAAGUGCCCAAGUCAGUAAGGGUCCUAGGGCUACCCAUGUUGAAUAGGAAUUCAUCCGCUCUCUGGCUGUCACCCCUGGCCCCGUCACCUCUCCUCUUGACAGUUGCAACAGCCUUCCUAGGCUCCUCUCCAACCUGCCUGAGAGGAAACUUAUAGCGCACACAUUUGUCUCCAGCCAUCUGAAGCCUGUGUUGUAGAGUCUCAGGCCCAAGACUGGCCCUGCCACCCCCUCAGGCUUAGACACAGCUACUGCCUCCGGGCCACCUACAUCUUGGGGGCUGUCUCAGCCUCCUCCUUGUAACUGGCUGGUUUGGGGGUGACCCACCAUCUUCAGAGUCCAUCUUCCCACCCUCAACAUAAAAUUGAUCACAGUGUUGCCACUCUCAGCCUCUUCCCUGCCAGUGGCUCUUUCACCAUGCACCCUUAUCACUGGGUCACUUGUCCUGUCUUGUCACUCCCAGAAAAUAACAAGCCCUGAGCACAUAGGUGCCCAGUACAGAUUCUCCCAAGGUCUUGAAGGAGUUUUGGAAACGCCAUCCUAACACAGUACGCUUGACUAUGCUGGCUCCUUUGAAUUGAGGCCUGGGGACAGGAAGCAGGAGAGCCUUUACCCAGUGAACAGUCUGGGCAGCUCUCGUUUUAGUUUUUAACACCGGGUCUUGCUCUCUAGCCUAGAUUAAUCUGGAAGUCAUAAUCCUGCCUCUGCUUCUAUAGUGCUGAGAUUACAGAUCAGAUGUGCCCCCACCAUGUCUAGCUUCUGUAAAGAUCAAGACAAUGUUUAAUCUCUAUGGAGCUCCUCCGUUCACCUUCCCAAAAUUUGUCGCUUAGCCAUCCUUCCAUCCCGGGAGCCCAGAGCCCAUAUUCUUUUCUAUAGCACCAACGGUUUUGCAAUGAACCACAGGUUUUCUCUGUUUGUUUGUUUGUUUGUUUGUUUGUUUGUUUGUUUGUUUGUUUGUUUUUGAGGUAGGGUGUCUCUACAUAGCCCUGGAUAUCCUGGAUAUCACUAUGUAGACCUGUUUGGCCUCAGACUCAGAGAUUCACCUGCCUCCACCUCCCUAGUGUUGGGACUAAAGGCUUGCACAACCACACCUGGCAAUUUUUCUUCUUUUUUGAGAUGGAGGUCCCAUGCACCUCAGGAUGGACUUAAACAUAGCUUGUGGCUAACAGAAGACCUCAAACUUCUGAUCCUUCUGCAGCUACCUCUCGAGUGCUGGGAUUAAAGAGGUUUGCCACCAUGCCCAGCCCUGGUACCGGGGAUUGAGUCCAGAGCCUUGUACAUGCGCAGCAAGCACUCUACUAACUGAGUUACACCUCCAGUUUCUUCCUGUAAGAGAAAUGCUGUGUAGGCGUGUGUGCCUGAUUGUGUGUAUGUGCCUCAUGUCCAUGCAGUACCCAAGUUAGCCAGAGUUACAGGCAGCUUUAAAUGGCUUGAUGUGGGUGCUGGGAACCAAACUCAGUUUCUCUGUAAGAGCAGCAGGUGCUUAAUCGCCGUGCACCUCUCCCGCCCCAGCUUUCCUCAUCUUCAUCUGUCUAAGGAUAUCUUAAUUAGUAGACCAACAAAGAUCUUUUAGGAGGGCAGAGAGAGAUGUCUUGCCUUCACUCCAGUCUCCUCUGGGGCCUGACAGUUGGCCGGGCUCCUCUCCAAUGCACUGUCUGCCCCCCAAAGGAACUUCGUGGCUGUUUUCUAACAAGGAAGAGGAGAACAAGGAGAGGUGGUUCUUGCUGUGGACCCUGGUUUUGUAAUUGCCUGGUGACCUUUCUGAGCCCUGGAUUCUUGGCUUUGUAGAACAGGAUAAAUCACUGGCUUAAGUUCACUCAGGUGCAGGAACUGGUGUGAUGUACAGAGACUUGACAGCCCUGCAGCCCCCACCCUUCACUUCUCACCCUCCCUCCUUCCUGCUCUCUCCUGUCCCCUUGGAGCUGAGCCAACAUCCAACCUGAGAGAGAAGACUUGGGCUCUGUUGGAGGCCACUAAGGACCCCAGUCUUUGCAAAGAGCUGGCUGACGGAUACUGCUCGAUACCGCAGCUUCCUCGUGGGCCAUAGGUGACUGUCUUUCUCCUGGGUCCAGUCCUCCCUCUCAUCUUGGCCUGAAAGCAGAUUUGGAUUGCCCUGCCUGAGCCGACAGAGCUGGGAGGCGCCUUCACUUGGCUCCUCUCCUGCAGCCCUUCCUCCCUUGGUGACCUGGUGACCUGGGUAGCCCCAGGCAGGCUGUGGGUGGAAGCUGAGACCUGCCAGGACAUGCUCAGGUGCCCGCAGCUCAGACCUGCAGGAGCCAUCCAGGACUCAAGGGUGAGACCCGGCCCCGGAAGUCCAGGCUGCCCAGCUAGGCCACAGAGAGAACUGGACCAGCCAGUCCAGGAGGAGCUGCCAGCCUAAGUGGCCACAGCACUUUGCUCCAUCGCUAUGGAAGCCUGGGCCCCAGGCUCUCAAGGGUUUAGGACCUGGGGUAGGGGUCUGGCCUAUAAGGCAGUGUCGGGCACACUCAACCCUACUGAGCACACUCCAGCGGGGUAAGAUGGUGGCACUUGGUAUAUUAAGUGUAUUUACCUCAGUACUUUAAAAGGAAAGGGAAAAUAUCAGCUCAAUAAAGUGACCUUGGAUUCUUAAAAAAAAAAAAAAAAAAAAAAAA
This 3452-nucleotide long non-coding RNA is filed under the name Mus musculus (house mouse). RNAcentral describes it as "RIKEN cDNA D930048N14 gene (D930048N14Rik)". Lineage: Eukaryota; Metazoa; Chordata; Mammalia; Rodentia; Muridae. The record is from RNAcentral.